Molecule: ribosomal RNA, 253 nt
Filed under: uncultured bacterium
Lineage: Bacteria
Description: partial 16S ribosomal RNA
Rfam family: Bacterial small subunit ribosomal RNA
Source: RNAcentral
UACGAAGGGGGCUAGCGUUGUUCGGAAUUACUGGGCGUAAAGAGUGCGUAGGCGGUUCUUUGUGUCCGCUGUGAAAGCCCCGGGCUUAACCUGGGAAUGGCAGUGGAAACUAGAGAACUUGAAUCUGGCAGAGGGGGGUGGAAUGCCACGUGUAGCAGUGAAAUGCGUAGAUAUGUGGCGGAACACCGAUGGCGAAGGCAGCCCCCUGGGCUGAGAUUGACGCUCAGGCACGAAAGCGUGGGGAGCAAACAGG